Long non-coding RNA from Lolium rigidum, 2047 nucleotides. RefSeq lists it as uncharacterized. The transcript is spliced from 3 exons. NCBI's taxonomy places the organism in Eukaryota, Viridiplantae, Streptophyta, Magnoliopsida, Poales, Poaceae. The record is from RefSeq and is a predicted model, not a curated record.
GGGCGACUCAAGAAGAACAAGGCUGCAAAAAUCUCAACGGCUGCCCGUGCGGAGGCGGCCGGACCAAGGUCGCUGGCUGUACCAACCAUGCGACCUGCACGAGAAGGCCUACCCAGCGAGAAAAACUUGGGGCGAUGAGAGGCUGGGCUGAGGAGACCAGCAACCAUGGGAUUGGCUUCCUCACGAACAAGGCCCAGCUUCGGUUGGUACAAAUAAAUCAUCAAGAGUUCACUAUCCUGAGGACCACCAUCGGGGAACUUUAGAAUAUAACUGCAGAAGCGGCAGCUGGAGUUGAGGACAUGGGAUUGCAGCCGUUUCUUCUGCUAGGCAUAUUGUAGACGUGUAACAAGUUCAGAUCUGUAGGUAGGAACUCCUGCUAUGUAUGUGUGAAAUAUCAUAUUGGUUGUUUCAGCGAUGGUGAUGGGUUGUGUCAUGGUUAGAAGAAGUAGCAUUCUACUGAAUCCAUGGUCAUUACUUGUGACUACAGGAAGAUGAGAAAUGGCAGCUUGGCUACAAAUGAUUGUGGAUCCCUUGAAUAUGGUGUAUGUGAUUUGGCAUCAACGCUACUGCAGAACUAGGGUGCAUAUCAGGAAUAUAAUGGAGAAAUAAGCAUGGGCUGAAGGCAGCGUAUUACACAUCGGCCGUGUGCUGGGGGAUAGGGCGUAGUCUUUGUCUAAGUUUCUAUUGUCGUCAUCACCUUUAUUCUCUUGUGAUGACUUCAGGAAGGUCUGGCCAUAUGUAUUUCUAUUUGAGAUAAUCGUUUCAGCAUUCUUAUUUUAUGACACAUCUAGAUUGAGAUGAUCCUUAGCUCUGCAUAUUGGCAUCACCUAAACUUUCACAUUCAGAUUGAACUUGGACGAGAUAAGUUAGGAUGAGGAAUUCGUUGUUGAAUAAUUGUUUUUUUCCUUUUUUUUAAUUACGUAUGAUACCUUCCAUAUGGUUUCUUGAAACAAAAAUGAGUAACCAUAUCUCAGUCAGUCACACUUUGAUUUUUAAUAUCAAAGGAAAUCUCUUGAUUUCGUUUAUCUCUAAAUUUCUUGGUUGAUUUCAUGCUAUAGCUAGAACUACUGAAAUGUCUGCAUCAGUGGGGUUUGUGGGCAUUAUGCAACUAUUGGGUAAUUAAAAAGGUGUUCUGAUUUUCCUUAUGAAUGAUGUCAUUUAGUUCGGUGUACUUUUCUUCUACACGCAUAGAUAAAACAGAGCCUUAGUUGUACGAAUGAUAAAUUUGAGGAAUUAUCUCUAAAAUAAAUAUGGAUUUAAAUAUUAGUAUUGACGGUCUAUUAAUCAUUUGGCUUACCUACUUUUGCAAUUCACCAUGCAGACUGUGCAUCGGAUAUUAGGUAAGCGUGGUUGUAAAAUAUAUGUGAAUUAUAGAGUAGUUGCAAAACAUUUAAAGUAUAUUUUCCCAGCAUUUCGUUAUCUAUACCCAUCUACUUUUUAUUACUGCCAUAAUUUAUUAGAAAUAAUGAAAAAUAUAUUUAAUGGUGUACAACAAAUAUCAUCCCCGGAUUUUCUCAUAAAUGAGUACCACCAGGAGACCAUGGUAGCCUGAUGAUAACCAGGUUUACACGAUGCUAUUCAUUGGUUCUUAUUAAUAUCUGUGGUUUCAAAUCUUAUAUCUCUUUAGUUCUACCAGUAUGGGAGAGGAAUCAUGUUCUCAUUGUUUUAUGCAUUUAGACUGUUAGAAAAUGGAGUUACUACUUACAACUGAUUGUUAUAGCUUGUUUUCGGCUUAUUCGCUGUAAUGAAAUUUGGACUCACCUCCCUGAAGAAACUGCAUCCAUAUACUCUGGAAGUACAUCACAUUAUCUACUAAUGGUGCCACGUAUAUCCUUGGGAACCCAUUGGUUUUGUCCCUCACCGCAGAUACACCAGUAUCUCCGAAAAUCACCCAAAUUGUUGUUAUGUACUUUUUUGUUGUUUUAGUAUGGUUGCAGAAAUUAAUGUAUCGUGAAGUGUACAUGAAUUCAGUGAUGAACCAGCCUAUUGUUUUUUUUUCAUAGAUCAGUUAGUGGCAAGCUCUAAUAAAAAAUAUGACUGUGUGAUU